This 253-nucleotide ribosomal RNA is filed under the name uncultured bacterium. Its description in RNAcentral is "partial 16S ribosomal RNA". It matches the Rfam family "Bacterial small subunit ribosomal RNA", at positions 524 to 776 of the family's 1533-position model. The record is from RNAcentral.
AACGUAGGAGGCAAGCGUUAUCCGGAGUUACUGGGCGUAAAGCGUGCGUAGGCGGAUGGGUAAGUGAGUGGUGAAAGCGCCCGGCUAAACCGGGCGAGUGCCAAUCAGACUGCUCGUCUAGAGGCGGAUAGAGGGGUGCGGAAUUCCGGGUGUAGCGGUGAAAUGUGUAGAGAUCCGGAGGAACACCAGUGGUGCAAACGGCGCCCUGGGUCCGAACUGACGCUGAUGCACGAAAGCGUGGGGAGCGAACGGG